CAGUCGCCACGGUAAUACAGAGGAUGCAAGUGUUAUCUGGAAUGAUUGGGCGUAAAGCAUCUAUAGGUAUCUUUCCAAGUCCACCGUCAAAUCCCCGGGCUCAACCCUGGACAAGCAGUGGAAACUACCAAGCUGGAGUACGGUAGGGGCAGAGGGAAUUUCCAGUGGAGCGGUGAAAUGCGUUGAGAUCGGAAAGAACAUCAACGGCGAAAGCACUCUGCUGGGCCAACACUGACACUGAGAGACGAAAGCUAGGGGAGCCAAUGGGAUUAGAUACCCCCGUAGUCCCUGUCUCUUAUAC
This 301-nucleotide ribosomal RNA is filed under the name uncultured bacterium. Its description in RNAcentral is "partial 16S ribosomal RNA". It matches the Rfam family "Bacterial small subunit ribosomal RNA", at positions 509 to 807 of the family's 1533-position model. The record is from RNAcentral.